This 756-nucleotide ribosomal RNA is filed under the name uncultured bacterium. Its description in RNAcentral is "bacterial SSU rRNA". It matches the Rfam family "Bacterial small subunit ribosomal RNA", at positions 8 to 796 of the family's 1533-position model. The record is from RNAcentral.
AGAGUUUGAUCAUGGCUCAGAAUCAACGCUGGCGGCGCGCCUAACACAUGCAAGUCGAACGAGAAAGUGGAGCAAUCCAUGAGUACAGUGGCGUACGGGUGAGUAACACGUGGGUGAUCUACCUCUUAGUGAGGAAUAACCCUGGGAAACCGGGGCUAAUACCGCAUAAGCCUGAGAAGGGAAAGCAGCAAUGCGCUGAGAGAGGAGCCCGCGGCCGAUUAGCUAGUUGGUGAGGUAAGAGCCCACCAAGGCAGAGAUCGGUAGCCGGCCUGAGAGGGCACACGGCCACACUGGCACUGAAACACGGGCCAGACUCCUACGGGAGGCAGCAGUGGGGAAUCUUGCACAAUGGGGGAAACCCUGAUGCAGCGACGCCGCGUGAGCGAUGAAGCCCUUCGGGGUGUAAAGCUCUUUCGUCAGGGAAGAUCAUGACGGUACCUGGAGAAGCAGCUGCGGCUAACUACGUGCCAGCAGCCGCGGUAAUACGUAGGCAGCAAGCGUUGUUCGGAGUUACUGGGCGUAAAGGGUGUGUAGGCGGUUCUUUAAGUUUGGUGUGAAAUCUCCCGGCUCAACCGGGAGGGUGCGCCGAAUACUGAGGGACUAGAGUGUGGGAGAGGAAAGUGGAAUUCCUGGUGUAGCGGUGAAAUGCGUAGAUAUCAGGAGGAACACCGGUGGUGUAGACGGCUUUCUGGACCAUAACUGACGCUGAGACACGAAAGCGUGGGUAGCAAACAGGAUUAGAUACCCUAGUAGUCC